RNAcentral lists this long non-coding RNA (1805 nucleotides) under Macaca mulatta (Rhesus monkey). RNAcentral describes it as "lncRNA (ENSMMUG00000062186.1)". The record is from RNAcentral. Lineage: Eukaryota; Metazoa; Chordata; Mammalia; Primates; Cercopithecidae.
CCUGGACGUCCUGGCAGUUGGCCCUGCCCUGCGUUGGCAGAGAACUUUGGUCGAAGGCCCCGCAGGCCUCCUGCUCUUCCUCUGUGGACCCUGGACCCUGCUCCUCUGUCCUUCCUCCUCCCACUUCAGAAGACCCCGUCCACCAGACCGCCUCCCCCUGAAGCCCAACGUGCAGCAGAGUCCGCUCCUCCAUCCCUGAAGCCUCCUUUUAACUGGGGGAUAUGGCAGCCACCCGUGGAGAGGUCAGAUGACAAAGCCGGCAAGGGCCAGGGAGCGCCCAGGGACAACUGGGUCUCCCUGCUGCCUCCCCAACACCUCCGGGCCUUAAAUUUCCACCCGUUCCAGCUUCUUGACUUGGGGAGCAGUCCUGCUGUGCACACUUCCUCCAACAAGCCGGAGAAAGCUCCCAGGCACAGGUGUGCAUGUGGCACGGUAAGUUUUCUGUAAUCCACUCACCUUUACGGAUUUACCGCACCAGGGGAAAUAUUAUAACAGGCAUUGUUACUUUAGAAAUUCCUGGGCUUCCUCUCCCUUCCUUGCAAGGGCAUUUUUAGAAAGCAUUUCGCCAACAUUCACUAUUUACUACCAUAAAUGUGACUCUGGCCAGCUCUGUCCCUGGGUAAGGCCGGAAUUGACCAUUUUCUUUUUUUUUUUUUUUUGAGACGGAGUCUCGCUCUGUCGCCCGGGCUGGAGUGCAGUGGCCGGAUCUCAGCUCACUGCAAGCUCCACCUCCGGGGUUUACGCCAUUCUCCUGCCUCAGCCUCCCGAGUAGCUGGGACUACAGGCGCCCGCCAUCUCGCCUGGCUAGUUUUUUGUAUUUUUUAGUAGAGACGGGGUUUCACCGUGUUCGCCAGGAUGGUCUCGAUCUCCUGACCUCGUGAUCCACCCGUCUCGGCCUCCCAAAGUGCUGGGAUUACAGGCUUGAGCCACCGCACCAGGCGACCAUUUUCUUAAAAGUUCCAGCGCCCUAAGGCUCCUGGUGGGCAUCUCCGCAGCUGAAGAAGGCUUCUGUCCCGUGCACCCUUCCCCAGGCGGGGGACCCCCAGUUCUGCUGCUCUGGCAUUUCAAAGAACCAAGUCCUCCAAGCUGCUCCACUGCCUCCUAACACUAGCCACGGUCCUCCCUGAACCACAAACCUCCGGCCUCACCCCUGCCUCUCAGGCCCAUGUCUUGCAAUGGACUCUGCCAGUCCACGCAUGCCUGGGUGUGGGGGGGUGCACUUAUGCAGCUGGGGUGAAGACAGGGACAGGGUAAUGUGAGACUCAGAUAUGAGACGCCAGGUGCAAAACUGCAGGUAGAAAGCCCCCUGUAGAGUGCAGGGGUUCAGGGUAGAGGCUCCGGGGUCUGGAAAGAGGUGGGUGUAGCUGUCACCAACCUUUCUCUGCCUUAGCUUUUUUUGUCUCUAAGCGACAGUCAAAAAUAGAACCUAAGGGGUGUGUUAAGAUCAUAAUAGUUGGCCGGGCGUGGUGGCUCACGCCUGUAAUCCCAGCAUUUUGGGAGACCAAGGUGGGCGGAUCACCCUGCGGUCAGGAGUUCAAGACCAGCGUGGCCAACUUGGUGAAACCCCGUCUCUACUAAAAAUACAAAAAUUAGAGGCAUGGUGGUGGGUGCACCUUUAAUCCCAGCUACUCCGGAGGCUGAGGCAGGAGAAUUACUUGAACCCGAGAGGCGGAGGUUGCAGUGAGCCGAGAUCGUGCCAUUGCACUCCAACCUGGGUGACAGAAUGAGACUCUGUUUAAAAAAAAAAAAAAAAAAGAGAUCACAAUAGUUAGCAUUUACAAAGCGUUGGGAAUUCUACUUGGCAC